CAGUGGCAAGUGAUGAUUCCCGUAUCAAUGCUUUCCUGAUGUGCAGGCCAUGAGGGUUGCAUAGUCACUACCUCUUCUGAUGCCAUUG
Small nucleolar RNA from Candoia aspera, 88 nucleotides. RefSeq annotates it as small nucleolar RNA SNORD11B. The transcript has a single exon. The record is from RefSeq and is a predicted model, not a curated record. Lineage: Eukaryota; Metazoa; Chordata; Lepidosauria; Squamata; Candoiidae.